GGCUGUUAAUGGCGGAGUCUCUAUUGAUUUCGUCUUUUUUUUAAUAAUUCUGGUUAAAAUGGGAAGAAUUUGUGUUGUGGAGGCUUACCGUAGCGAGUAUUAUUCUGAUUGUGGUUUAUAUUUUCACAGGUACUUACUAUUCAAAAUGCAGAAUCCAGGACAAUGAUGCUCGGCGGUGAAGAAAAUUCCUCUAAAUGUUUGAAUUGGGUUGAUUUUAUGUAAAUCCUACCACUUAUAUCCAUCACAUUUUUUAUAUAGUCUGUAGGUAAUGUAAUGGCUCUACUCCCCUCGUUGCCCAAAACUCAGAUGCUAUAGCAAUGGCUAUACAUUUUUUUUGCAUGUGUUACACUGAAAAUUUGGCCAAAUUGCCACAGUUGGAAGGAGGGUUUUUAGGAAGGUUUGUGGAAAGGUCCAGUUUUCCUUUAGGAAGUCCUCCUAUUUCCUAGAUGUUUUUUUUUUACCAAAAGACAAACCAUGAUCAGAACAAUGUGUUAAACCAAAGUAUAAAUAUUAUCUCCAUUUUAUGCAUGAUCACCGAAAAUAUUUGAUGACAUGUUUAGUGUUCAUAAAUUUAUUUUUUAGAUGAGCUGCUUGACUGGUGUUAUUCGUAAUUGGUAUUUUAGUGUAAGGCAUAAAGUGCUGUUUAUCUUUAUGGCCAAAGUUGCUCAGUAAACAAAAGUAUAACUGUAUGUUUUGAUGCAAUUAGUAUAUAUAAUUUUUAAUUUUACAAAAUCACACGUCAUUCAGGAAAGGAACAAAGAAUUAUAAAGGCAUUUUUAUUGUACUUGUCUUGCAUUCAAGACAUAAGAACUUACAUAUUAAAUUUUAACAAUAAGGAGACUUUAAAUCCAUUAAUAAGAGUUACAACAUGGUUUUAUAAAUUUAUGUUAAAUUCUAUGUACCAAUGACGUGAAAUUUUAAUACAUUAUGUUUAAUAUUCAAAAGCCUCAUGAAUAUUUAAUCAACUUAACAAUUUUCCUAAAUUAUGAAAUCUAUUGUGAUCCUUACAUUAAUGAAACAAAAUACACGCUAUUAAGUAUGGAAUUGGUUAUAGGGCAUUUAUCAAAUCGAGAGAGGCUUUUCAUAUCAAGUCCUAUAUCUUACACAUACAGAAAAUAAUGUAAACUAAAUAAUAAUAUUCUGAAGGGGUUGCGAAAAUAAUAAAUGUAGGACUUGGAUCAAGUUCACCAAUAUAUACAUACAUAAAUACAAUAAAGAUUCAGGGCAUUAUGGAAAGUUUUAAAAAAUAAGGCAAUAUUGUUUAUUAUCUCCCAUUGCAAGCUGUUUUACAUUCAACAUAGACACAUUCAACAGGGAUAACAAAAUAAAAAAUAUUGUGAUUGAUGAAAUUCUAAUUAACCACUGAAUUCUCGACAAGUUAGCAGGACUUCAUAAACAAAGGAAUAGAUCGGAAAAAACAAAAUGAUGUGUUGCGGUGACGGGCGAGGGAUA
This is a long non-coding RNA of Papilio polytes (common Mormon), 1452 nucleotides long. RefSeq lists it as uncharacterized. The record is from RefSeq and is a predicted model, not a curated record. The transcript is spliced from 2 exons. NCBI's taxonomy places the organism in Eukaryota, Metazoa, Arthropoda, Insecta, Lepidoptera, Papilionidae.